This 468-nucleotide ribosomal RNA is filed under the name uncultured bacterium. Its description in RNAcentral is "partial 16S ribosomal RNA". It matches the Rfam family "Bacterial small subunit ribosomal RNA", at positions 28 to 507 of the family's 1533-position model. The record is from RNAcentral.
GACGAACGCUGGCGGCGUGCUUAACACAUGCAAGUCGAACGGCAAGGCCCUGCUUUUGUGGUGUUCUCGAUUGGCGAACGGGUGCGUAACACGUGAGUAACCUGCCCUUGACUUUGGGAUAACUUCAGGAAACUGGGGCUAAUACCGUAUAGGAGCUCCUGCUGCAUGGUGGGGGUUGGAACGUUUCGGCGGUUGCGGAUGGACUCGCGGCUUAUCAGCUUGUUGGUGGGGUAGUGGCUUACCAAGGCUUUGACGGGUAGCCGGCCUGUGAGGGUGACCGGCGACAAGGGGACUGAGAGACGGCCCAGAGUCGUACGGGAGGCAGCAGUGGGGAAUAUUGCACAAUGGGCGGAAGCCUGAUGCAGAAACGCCGCGGGCGGGAUGACGGCCUUCGGGGUGUAAACCGCUUUCGCCUGUGACGAAGCGUGAGUGACGGUAAUGGGUAAAGAAGCACCGGCUAACUACGUG